GUCUUAAAGAAUUUAAUUUUAAGUCUAAUCUGCCCACUGAAUUUUUAAAUGGCUGCAGAAUUUUUUACUGUACAAAGGUAGCAUAAUAAUUUGUUUUUUAAUUAAAAAAUUGAAUGAAAGAUUUAAUGAAAUAUAAACUGUUUCAAUUAAAUUUAAUUAUGAAUUUUUUAUUUAAGUAAAAAAACUUAAAUAAUUUUUAAAGACGAUAAGACCCUAUAGAAUUUUAUUUAUUUAUAUACCUUUAAUUUAAAUAAAUUUUAUUGGGGUAAUAAAAAAAUUAAAUAAAUUUUUUUUAAAAAAAACAUUUUAAUUGAAAAAUAUAUCUUAAUUUUUAAAUUAAAAAAAUUAAUUACCUUAGGGAUAACAGCAUAAUUUUUUUUAAAAGAUCUUAUUAAUAAAAAAGAUUAU
This 408-nucleotide ribosomal RNA is filed under the name Chaoilta sp. Its description in RNAcentral is "partial 16S ribosomal RNA". The record is from RNAcentral. Lineage: Eukaryota; Metazoa; Arthropoda; Insecta; Hymenoptera; Braconidae.